GACGGGGACCCGCACAAGCGGUGGAGCAUGUGGUUUAAUUCGACGAUACGCGAAGAACUUACCUGGCCUUGACAUACUAAAAAGCUUUAAGAGAUUAGAGUGUGCUAGCUUGCUAGAAUUUAGAUACAGGUGCUGCACGGCUGUCGUCAGCUCGUGUCGUGAGAUGUGGGUUAAGUCCCGCAACGAGCGCAACCCUCGUGUUUAGUUGCUAACAGUUCGGCUGAGAACUCUAAACAGACUGCCUACGCAAGUAGGAGGAAGGUGAGGACGACGUCAAGUCAUCAUGGCCCUUACGGCCAGGGCUACACACGUGCUACAAUGGGGUAUACAAAGAGCAGCGAUACGGUGACGUGGAGCAAAUCUAGAAAAUGCCUCUCAGUUCGGAUUGUAGUCUGCAACUCGACUACAUGAAGUUGGAAUCGCUAGUAAUCGUAGAUCAGCAAUGCUACGGUGAAUACGUUCCCGGGUCUU
Molecule: ribosomal RNA, 471 nt
Filed under: uncultured Arcobacter sp.
Lineage: Bacteria; Pseudomonadati; Campylobacterota; Epsilonproteobacteria; Campylobacterales; Arcobacteraceae
Description: bacterial SSU rRNA
Rfam family: Bacterial small subunit ribosomal RNA
Source: RNAcentral